This 5207-nucleotide long non-coding RNA is filed under the name Sus scrofa (pig). Its description in RNAcentral is "lncRNA (ENSSSCG00040026719.1)". The record is from RNAcentral. Lineage: Eukaryota; Metazoa; Chordata; Mammalia; Artiodactyla; Suidae.
ACAAUGCAGACCAUCUGAACUUCAUUGUCUAGGUGAGUGAGGAUGGUGUCCCUAACAUUUGUGUUCUUGUCUUCUCUUUGCAGGUAUAAGGUUCAGAUCUUUGCUUGUGACACAGAUAUGGGAUGAUGUGAUAUUAAAGACAUUCUUAUACUUAAAUGGCUACAUAAUUCAUGAUUUCUCCUUUAUAUUUACUUUGUUUUUGACAUGUAAUCAGUUAGGAAUUUAACUUUCUCUAAUAAUACUAGUCAGAAUGGGAUUUUUUAUGUUUUUCUUUAAAGAUAUGUGUUGAGCAUAGUAGUGAUGGAUAGAUUUGCAGAGGGGACAUUGCUAAUGUCAAGGUCAGUGAUGAUGGAGCCUAAACCAGAGCAUAGGCCAUCAGAUCUCCAGGUAUCUGAGUAAGUGAUAAUGUAUUCUAACACUUCUUAUUACCAUGAUUUUUUUUUUCAGGCAUCAGGGUAAAAAAUUAAAUAGAGUCCUUAUAAAUCUAGAAAACAAUAGUUUUCACUUUCUAUCUUAGAAAAAGUUGAACACUCUUUGGUGUUGAGUGAUUGCACAUAUGCAGAUAUUUAAUAUGGUUUUCCCACUACAGUACUGCCAUAGUUUUGUUUUCUUUUUAAACAGUUGUCCAGUCAAGAAACUCUGGCUUCCCAACAUUGGUGUUGACCUUGGAUUAGUGAAAGUAUCCAGGUAGAGUUGAUGUGUCUCAUAAUGGUGACGUGAUCAAGGUGUCUGGACAGAAAGGAUACAUCUUGUGUAUUUUCCAGGUUCCUGUCCAGAUAUCACUCUGAAACAAGGAUUGAUGUUAACGGUGGCCACUGUUGGAGUCCAGGUUCCUGUCAAGAGAGAGACAUUCUGGUGGUUGUUCUCUGGGGACAUUUCUGUGCCCAGGUAUGUAAUGAUGUGCACCUUCCCCUAACAGACAUCUCAUCUUCUCAUAUCUAGGUCAGUGUUAGGAUUGAAUAAACUUAUUUACCAUGUGUUUUAUUUUCAAGAAGUCAGGUAAGAAAUCAUAGUAUGUUUACCAGUUGUAGCAAUCCUGAUAUGCUACUGUCUGUGAUCUUAGAGAAAAUGUAUGCUUAGUCAUGGGAGUGUUGAGUGGCUGGUGGGUAUCCACACCAUGACAGUGGAAUUGUGUGGUACACUAGUAACCAUGGUGCUUUGGCAAGUAAGCUGGGAAGAGAUGAUGCUGUGUCUAAAUUUGGCAUAGAUCUUGGAGUCCUACAUGAAUCCAGGGAGAACCGAUGGGUCCUGCAGUGAUGGCCACCCAUAAGGCUGUUUGAAAUUUCCUGGUAGAAAAGGUACGUCCAUAGACAUAUCUGUCACAAAGGGCUUUUUACAGUCUGGUCAAGAAGUCAUGGUGAAUCUCAAAAUGAUCUUGAAUGGAACUUUGCUUCUCUCCAGAUAAGUGUUCCUAUGGCAUUUAGCACCUAUAAUAUGAUCUUCAGAUAUGUAGGUCUGAGGGAGGGUGUUCCUAAUUAUUCUGUUACCAUCUUGUUUUAUUUAAGCAGCUAUUCAUUUAAGAAGUGGCAUUUUCCAUCACAACCUUGUAGAUCAACUAUAGUUCAGUAAAACUUUAAAAAAUGGAAAAAAAAAAGAAAAUUGACAUAGUCACAACUAGUGCUUGUAUUUGCCUUUUUUUUUUUUUUUAAGAUUUUUGAUAUAGUGUGUAUUUAAACUUAGUAGUAACAGAGGGUUAUUCAGGUCCAGGUAAUUUAUUCUACUUUUGCAGUGUUAACCAUGACAUUUCUACAGAUUCUCCUAGAAGAGAUGAUACUGUGCCUCACAAUGGUGUUGACCUUAAAGUUCUUCCAAGGUUCAUAUAGUGCAUAUGCUCCUCUAAUGAUGGAAGCAAGCAAGAUUAUCUUCAAAGGUACUUAUUUGGCAGAUAAAUAAGAAUGUCCUUUAACACAGUUGUCUAAUGCAUUUCUCAAGGUUCUAGUCAGCAUCGUGAAUAUAAUUAACCAAAUAAUAGUUGUCAGUGGGACCUUGUUAGAAACCAGGUUGGUGAAAAGGUGGCUUACAGCCCAGUACAGAUCAUUAGAUGUUCAGUUAUCGAGCACGUAAGAAUGGUGUCUAACACAGUGCACCACACUUUUUUGUAGGUUUCCCAUUACUUUCUUUGUCUAGUGUACAGGUAUGAGAUGAUGUGACAUUAAUUCAUUAGAUACCGUCGUUUCUUCAGAUACGUAGGUAGUGAUGUUGACCUUGAAGAUCUUUCAAGAUCCACAGAGUAUCAAGGAUUCCCCUGAUGAUAGAAAAAUAACCAGAAGUAAUUACGUGUAUUCUUCAGGUAAAACAUUUUUUUCCUUAAAACCCUUGUCAGUUGUGUUCUUACAUGUUAUAGUAGUGAUGACCCUAUAGCAGACCUAGGAAUGGUCAUCAAUGGGACCCUGCUAGUAACCAGGUAAGUGAUAUUGAGGGUCUUGCAGCCCAAUAUAGACCAUCUGGUCUUCAGAUGUCUGUGUAAGUGAGGAUGAUGUCCCUAACACCAGACACAGUGAUACUGUGUUUUUUCCUGCAGGUACCCUGUUAAAGUGUUUGCUAGUAUGAAGGUAUUUUCAGAUAGAUAAGGAAUAAAUGAUAUUUUGCAGACACUUUAUAGUUUAUCUUACACUUAACUAUAUUAACUAUAUUUUUGGCUUGUAUGCAGUAAAGCUAUUAAUCUGUCAUUAACAUACUCGUAAGCAUAAUAUUUUCCUAUAUUCGAGUUCCAGAAUAGCAUUUUACCCACCUCUACUGACAAAAGGAUAUGCGGAUAUCCAGGAAAUUUAUCAUACUGUUCAUCACCGCAAUAUAGACCGUAGAAUUUCGAGGUAGCCUUUCAAGAGAAGAAGGCAUCUCUUACUAAGAUUUAGUCCAGGUAAUGGUGAUGAGUCUCACAGUUAUGCAGUGGAACAAAGGGAUCUGAAGGUGGACACUAGAAUGAUAUGUACUUCAAGCACAUCCUCUAAAUGCGUCUUCGGGUUCGUGAUGGUAAGCAUCUCAAUGUAGUUAAAGUUGCUGGUAUCUAGGUGAGUGAUGGUGUGGGCCUAACCCACAUCAUAGACCAUCUCUGCCUCAUGUAUGUGGGUAAGUGAAUAUGCUUGCCUUCCUAACACUUCUUCUUAAAAAGAUUUUUUUGCAGGUAUUCAGCUGAGAAAUACUAAGAGUUCAUACUAAUUCCAAUAACCAUGAGUUUACGCUUUGUGUAUUUUAGUGAAAAUAUGUUUUAUCUUGUAAGUAUUGAGGAGUCAGUUAUGUUCCCAGUAGUUGUUGUGAAGUCUCCUCACUGUUGUAACCAUUGGAUUUUUACAGGAAUCCAGGAAAGUGAUACUGAUCUCUUCUGACAGCAGUGUUGACCUCGAAUGAAUGCAGAGAUCCAGGUAGCAAUGAUGUGUUCCAUGAUAACGGAGGUGCACACGGUUAGAUGCAGGUGUCCUGGUAGAACAGUGUUUGUCUUACACAGAUUUGUUGCAUGUAUUUCUUCAGGAUCCUGUUAAGACAACAGGGUAAACCUAGCAGUGUGAUGACUAACAAAAGCUUUCUAGUAACCAGGUAAGUGUGAAAGUGGGUCUCACCACAGUGCACACCAUCUGAACUUCAGGGUCUAGGUGAAUGAGGAUGGUGUCCCUAAUAUUUGUGUUCAUGUCUUCUUUUUGCAGGUGUCAGGUUCAGAUCUUUCCUUGUCACACAAGGAUGAGAUGAGGGGAUAUUCACUAAUUAAAGACAUUGUUAUAUUCCGAUGGCUACGUGAUUCAUGAUCAGUCUUUUAUAUUUACUUUGUUUUUGGCAUGUUAUCAGAUUUGGCUUUCCAACAUUGGUAUUGACCUUGAAUUACUGCAAGUAACCAGGUAGAGUUGAUGUGUCUCAUAAUGGUGACGUGACCAAGAUGUGUAGGUAGAAAGGACACAUUUCCUAUCUUUUACAGGUUUGUGUCCACACAUCACUCUGAACUGAGCAUUAAUGUUAACAGGGGACACGGUCGGGGUCCAGGUUUGUGAUGAUUGUGACCCUGUCACUUGUUACCAUGGCUUCUCUGCAGGUAUUCAGGUAAUGGUUGAUUCCUUACCAGUUCUUAAUACCAUGAACUUUCAGUUUUCAUGCUUUAGAGAAUAUCUUUAACUCUGUGACUCAUGAGCAAUUACACAUAGCAGGUAUUGAUUAUGAUUGCUCAAGCACAGUAGUGAUCAUGGAAUUUCUGCAGGUAUCUUGUAAAGAAGUGUUAUUUCCUGACAAGGGUCAUGCCCUAGGAGAACUGCAAAUAUUCAAGUAGAGUUGAUCAUAAUGCUGUCAAUGACGGAGCUUGUUUGCAAGUGUCCUAGUAGAGUAAGCUAUGUCCUUUUAUACGUGUAUCAUAAUGUGCUUUUCAGGUUCUGCCAAGAGAUGAAUAUUCAUUCUGAUGGUCAUUCUCUGGGGACAUUUCUUUGUCUGGGUAGGUAAUGAUGUGCACCUUUCCCAGCAGACAUUGCAUCUUCUCAUAUCUAGGUCUCUGUUCGGAUUGACUAAAUUUACUUAUCAUGUGGAUUUUUUCAGGUAAUCAGAUAAGAAAUGAUAGUAUUUUUACCAAUGGUAGCAAUCCUGAUAUGCUGCUGUUUGCAAUUUUAGAAAAAAAAAUGUAUGCUUACUCAUGGGAGUGUUCAUUGGCUCUUGAAUAUCCACAUCAUGAUGGUGGAAUUGUGUGGCACAGCAGUAACCAUGGUGCUUUUGCCAGGGGGCUGGGAGGAGAUGCUGGCGUGUCGAACUUUGGCAUAAAGCUUGGAGUCCUGCAUGAAGCCAGAGAGAACCGAUGGGUCCUGCAGUGAUGGCUACACACAGGGUUAUUUGAAGAGUCCUAGUAGAAAUUGUGCCUCCAUACACAUAACUGUCACAAGGGGCUCUUUGCAUUCUAGUCAAGAAAUCACAGUGAAUCUGAAAAUGAUCCUGAAUAGGCCUUUGAUGUCUCCAGAUAUUCAUUUCAGAAAUUAAUCACAAACUUGUCAGAUUCCCUGUUGUGGCUCAGUGGUAAUGAACCUGACUAGUAUACAUGAGGACUCAUGUUCGGUCCCUGGCCUCGCUCAGUGGGUUAAGGAUCCGGCGUUGCUAUGGUGAGCUACAGUGUAGGUCGCAGACAUGGCUCGGAUCUGUCAUUGCUGUGGCUGUGGCUUAGGCUGGUGGCUGUAGCUCCAGUUUGAGCCCUAGCCUGGGAACUAUGCUGUGGUUGUGGACCUAAAAAGACCAAGAAAAAAAAA